UCUGGCUCAGGACGAACGCUGGCGGCGUGCCUAAUGCAUGCAAGUCGAACGCAGCGUGCUUGCACGGCUGCGUGGCGCACGGCUGAGGAACACGUGGGUGACCAACCCCGGAGUGGGGGAUACCCCGACGAAAGUCGGGACAAACCCGCAUACGAUCCGCAAGGAUGAAAGCGGCAACGCGCUUUGGGACGGGCCUGCGGCCCAUCAGGUAGUUGGGAGGGUAACGGCCUACCAAGCCAAUGACGGGUUCCUGGUCUGAGAGGACGACCAGGCAGACUGGGACUGAGACACGGCCCAGACUCCUACGGGAGGCAGCAGCAAGGAAUUUUCCCCAAUGGGCGCAAGCCUGAGGGAGCAACGCCGCGUGCAGGAUGACGGCUUUCGGGUUGUAAACUGCUUUUGGGUGGGACGAUGAUGACGGUACCACCUGAAUAAGCCCCGGCUAACUCCGUGCCAGCAGCCGCGGUAAGACGGAGGGGGCAAGCGUUGUCCGGACUUACUGGGCGUAAAGCGCACGUAGGCGGCGCGGUGCGUCGGUGCUGAAAGCGCCGGGCUUAACCCGGCGAGGCGUGCCGAUACGACCGCGCUCGAGGCAGGCAGAGGGUGGCGGAAUUCCGGGUGUAGUGGUGAAAUGCGUAGAGAUCCGGAGGAACGCCUGUGGCGCAAGCGGCCACCUGGGCCUGACCUGACGCUGAGGUGCGAAAGCGUGGGGAGCGAACCGGAUUAGAUACCCGGGUAGUCCACGCUGUAAACGAUGCCGGCUCGGUGGUUGUUCCCGUUCAGGGGAUGGCUGCCUCAGCUUACGCGGUAAGCCGGCCGCCUGGGGACUACGAG
This 834-nucleotide ribosomal RNA is filed under the name uncultured bacterium. Its description in RNAcentral is "bacterial SSU rRNA". It matches the Rfam family "Bacterial small subunit ribosomal RNA", at positions 18 to 886 of the family's 1533-position model. The record is from RNAcentral.